CCUACGGGGGGCAGCAGUGAGGAAUAUUGGUCAAUGGGGGGAACCCUGAUGCAGCGACGCCGCGUGGGUGAAGGAGUGCUUCGGCAUGUAAAGCCCUAUCGGCAGGGAAGAAGCAAGACGGUACCUGACUAAGAAGCCCCGGCUAACUACGUGCCAGCAGCCGCGGUAAUACGUAGGGGGCGAGCGUUAUCCGGAUUCACUGGGUGUAAAGGGAGCGUAGACGGCCAUGCAAGCCAGGGGUGAAAGCCCGGGGCCCAACCCCGGGACUGCCCUUGGAACUGGGCGGCUAGAGUGCGGGAGGGGCAGGCGGAAUUCCUGGUGUAGCGGUGAAAUGCGUAGAUAUCAGGAGGAACACCGGCGGCGAAGGCGGCCUGCUGGACCGCGACUGACGUUGAGGCUCGAAAGCGUGGGGAGCGAACAGGAUUAGAUACCCUGGUAGUC
RNAcentral lists this ribosomal RNA (441 nucleotides) under uncultured bacterium. RNAcentral's name for it is "partial 16S ribosomal RNA". It matches the Rfam family "Bacterial small subunit ribosomal RNA", at positions 338 to 795 of the family's 1533-position model. The record is from RNAcentral.